GGCUGGUUCUCAUAUUUUGGUUCAAGGAAUUUUUCAAUCUACAACGGCUGCUAGCCAGUGGUUGAAAGAUUGUCUACCAAAUAUGUGUACUGCAAUGAUUAUCUUCAUUCAGAGGUUCAGAUAGAUGGAGCCUGACACUCUCCACCCUCAAGAACCACUUCGGUGCCGCCACACCCGGCAGCGACAAGUUCGGUGGC
Molecule: non-coding RNA, 197 nt
Organism: Triticum urartu
Lineage: Eukaryota; Viridiplantae; Streptophyta; Magnoliopsida; Poales; Poaceae
Source: RefSeq, a predicted model, not a curated record